This 435-nucleotide ribosomal RNA is filed under the name uncultured Acidovorax sp. RNAcentral's name for it is "bacterial SSU rRNA". It matches the Rfam family "Bacterial small subunit ribosomal RNA", at positions 943 to 1382 of the family's 1533-position model. Lineage: Bacteria; Pseudomonadati; Pseudomonadota; Betaproteobacteria; Burkholderiales; Comamonadaceae. The record is from RNAcentral.
GGUUUAAUUCGAUGCAGCGCGAAAACCUUACCACUUGACAUGUACGGAAUCCUUUAGAGAUAGAGGAGUGCUCGAAAGAGAGCCGUAACACAGGUGCUGCAUGGCUGUCGUCAGCUCGUGUCGUGAGAUGUUGGGUUAAGUCCCGCAACGAGCGCAACCCUUGUCAUUAGUUGCUACAUUCAGUUGGGCACUCUAAUGAGACUGCCGGUGACAAACCGGAGGAAGGUGGGGAUGACGUCAAGUCCUCAUGGCCCUUAUAGGUGGGGCUACACACGUCAUACAAUGGCUGGUACAAAGGGUUGCCAACCCGCGAGGGGGAGCUAAUCCCAUAAAGCCAGUCGUAGUCCGGAUCGCAGUCUGCAACUCGACUGCGUGAAGUCGGAAUCGCUAGUAAUCGUGGAUCAGAAUGUCACGGUGAAUACGUUCCCGGGUCUU